This 833-nucleotide long non-coding RNA is filed under the name Ananas comosus (pineapple). Its description in RNAcentral is "long non-coding RNA (ACOM_LNC038643)". Lineage: Eukaryota; Viridiplantae; Streptophyta; Magnoliopsida; Poales; Bromeliaceae. The record is from RNAcentral.
UGAGAUCUCAAAUAGUCGUAUAUAUAAGAUAUAAUGGGGCUAAAAUUUUUAAUCCGGCUUAAGUAUUUUGGAUGGUGGCUAGGCUAAGGAGGUUAAAAGAGUUAAGCGUACUAGUACGGGAGUAAUCCUAGGAUGAGUGACCCCUUGAGAAGUUGAGGCAUCACAGUUGGUAUCAGAGUCAAUUACCAGCCAGAAGUGUGAGAUGAGUCUCGGCCGAGCUAGAAUUAUAUAGCUGGUUGAGCGAGACUCUCAGACUAUUGACUAUUGUGGGUGCAGCGCAGAUUCCCAUAAGAUCGGUUUAGGCUAGCAAGAUGAGUCUCAUAUUGUCUGAUACUUGUGAGUCUGAGUCUGAUGAGGACGUCAGGGCUUAAAGGGAGGAGAAUGUGAGAUUUCAAAUAGUUCUGUAUAUAAGAUGUAAUAGGGCUAAAACUCUUAACCCGACUUAAACAUUUUAGGUGGUGGAUAGGCCUAAGAGGUUAAGAGAGUUAAGAAUGUUAGGGCGGGAGUAGUCCUAGGAUGGGUGACCCCCGGGAAGUUGGGGCGUCAUAGAAAUUGGUUAGGAUAAACUCUGAUAAAGUCUGAUACCGGGUUCAAUAAGAAUAAAAUAUACAAACGCGGCGUCUGUGGGUUUCGAUUUGUGACUCAGUUCAACUCGGCCUCUGGUGUAGCUCACAGACUCUAAUUGUUACUCGGCUCAACCCCGCCUCCAUCGCAGGGUAGGAUGCUGAUCCCUUCAAGCCAACAGAAGAGAAGAAAAUAGAAUUUCUUUUGUACUUUAAAGUUAUGUAAAUUAUGUGCAAAAUAUGCGAUCAAAAUGACUAUUCAAUUAAUAA